UUUAUGGAGAGUUUGAUCCUGGCUCAGGAUGAACGCUGGCGGCGUGCCUAAUACAUGCAAGUCGUGCGGUAACAGGCCCUUCGGGGUGCUGACGAGCGGCGGACGGGUGAGUAACGCGUAGGAAUGUACCCCAAAGUGAGGGAUAACUGCCCGAAAGGGUAGCUAAUACCGCAUAUGGUCUUCGGAUUAAAGCUAUUAGCGCUUUGGGAACAGCCUGCGUAAGAUUAGCUAGUUGGUGAGGUAAUGGCUCACCAAGGCGACGAUCUUUAGCUGGUCUGAGAGGAUGAUCAGCCACACUGGAACUGAGACACGGUCCAGACUCCUACGGGAGGCAGCAGUAAGGAAUCUUCCACAAUGGGCGAAAGCCUGAUGGAGCAACGCCGCGUGCAGGAUGAAGGCCUUCGGGUCGUAAACUGCUUUUCUAUGCGAAGAAUAUGACGGUAACAUAGGAAUAAGGAACGGCUAACUACGUGCCAGCAGCCGCGGUCAUACGUAGGUUCCAAGCGUUAUCCGGAGUGACUGGGCGUAAAGAGUUGCGUAGGCGGAAUGUUAAGCAGAUAGUGAAAUCGAGUGGCUCAACCAUCUUCGGCUAUUAUCUGAACUGGCAUUCUCGAGAGUAGUAGAGGUACCUGGAAUUCCCUGUGUAGCGGUGAAAUGCGUAGAUAUAGGGAGGAACACCAAUGGCGUAGGCAGGGUACUAGACUAUUUCUGACGCUGAGGCACGAAAGCGUGGGGAGCGAACCGGAUUAGAUACCCGGGUAGUCCACGCCGUAAACGAUGGGUGCUAGCUGUUGGAGGUAUCGACCCCUUCAGUAGCGAAGCUAACGCGUUAAGCACCCCGCCUGUGGAGUACGGUCGCAAGACUAAAACAUAAAGGAAUUGACGGGGACCCGCACAAGCGGUGGAUCAUGUUCUUUAAUUCGAUGGUAAGCGAAGAACCUUACCAGGGCUUGACAUCCUUGGAAUUUUGUCGAAAGACGAGAGUGCCCUUGGGAACCAAGUGACAGGUGAUGCAUGGCCGUCGUCAGCUCGUGUCGUGAGAUGUUUGGUUAAGUCCAUCAACGAGCGCAACCCUUAUGAAUAGUUGGAUUUUUCUAUUCAGACUGCCCCGGUAACGGGGAGGAAGGGGGGGAUGAUGUCAGGUCAGUAUUUCCCUUACGCCCUGGGCUAGAAACGUGAUACAAUGGCCGGUACAAUGAGCAGCCAAGCAGCAAUGCGGAGCAAAUCUCAUCAAAGCCGGUCUCAGUUCGGAUAACAGGCUGAAACUCGCCUGUUUGAAGCUGGAAUCGCUAGUAAUCGCAGGUCAGCACACUGCGGUGAAUACGUUCCCGGGUCUUGUACACACCGCCCGUCAAACCAUGAAAGUCACCAACACCCGAAGUCUGAACUUGAUUCGGCCUAAGGUGGGGGGGAUGAUUGGGGUUAAGUCGUAACAAGGUAUCCGUACCGGAAGGUGCGGAUGGAUUACCUCCUUUCUA
This 1478-nucleotide ribosomal RNA is filed under the name Candidatus Saccharimonadota bacterium. Its description in RNAcentral is "bacterial SSU rRNA". It matches the Rfam family "Bacterial small subunit ribosomal RNA". Lineage: Bacteria; Candidatus Saccharimonadota. The record is from RNAcentral.